This 68-nucleotide transfer RNA is filed under the name Marmota monax (woodchuck). Its description in RNAcentral is "tRNA.Ala". The record is from RNAcentral. Lineage: Eukaryota; Metazoa; Chordata; Mammalia; Rodentia; Sciuridae.
GUGAUAGCUCAGUGGUAGAGCACUUGCCUAGCAUGUUUGAGGCCCAGAGUUCAAUCCCCAGUACCACA